RNAcentral lists this ribosomal RNA (499 nucleotides) under uncultured bacterium. RNAcentral describes it as "partial 16S ribosomal RNA". It matches the Rfam family "Bacterial small subunit ribosomal RNA", at positions 30 to 523 of the family's 1533-position model. The record is from RNAcentral.
AUUGAACGCUGGCGGCAUGCCUUACACAUGCAAGUCGAACGGCAGCACGGGAGCAAUCCUGGUGGCGAGUGGCGAACAGGUGAGUAAAGUAUCGGAACGUGCCCAGUCGUGGGGGAUAACGUAGCGAAAGUUACGCUAAUACCGCAUACGAUCUAUGGAUGAAAGCGGGGGAUCGCAAGACCUCGCGCGAUUGAGCGGCCGAUAUCAGAUUAGGUAGUUGGUGGGGUAAAGGCUCACCAAGCCGACGAUCUGUAGCUGGUCUGAGAGGACGACCAGCCACACUGGGACUGGGAAACGGCCCAGACUCCUACGGGAGGCAGCAGUGGGGAAUUUUGGACAAUGGGCGAAAGCCUGAUCCAGCCAUGCCGCGUGCAGGAUGAAGGCCUUCGGGUUGUAAACUGCUUUUGUACGGAACGAAAGGGUUUGGGCUAAUAAGCUGAGCUCAUGACGGUACCGUAAGAAUAAGCACCGGCUAACUACGUGCCAGCCGCCGCCGUAA